RNAcentral lists this transfer RNA (74 nucleotides) under Basidiobolus meristosporus CBS 931.73. It matches the Rfam family "tRNA". From Rfam's summary of the family: Transfer RNA (tRNA) molecules are approximately 80 nucleotides in length. Their secondary structure includes four short double-helical elements and three loops (D, anti-codon, and T loops). Further hydrogen bonds mediate the characteristic L-shaped molecular structure. tRNAs have two regions of fundamental functional importance: the anti-codon, which is responsible for specific mRNA codon recognition, and the 3' end, to which the tRNAs corresponding amino acid is attached (by aminoacyl-tRNA synthetases). tRNAs cope with the degeneracy of the genetic code in two manners: having more than one tRNA (with a specific anti-codon) for a particular amino acid; and 'wobble' base-pairing, i.e. permitting non-standard base-pairing at the 3rd anti-codon position. The record is from Rfam by way of RNAcentral. Lineage: Eukaryota; Fungi; Basidiobolomycota; Basidiobolomycetes; Basidiobolales; Basidiobolaceae.
GCUCUUGUGGCGCAAUUGGCUAGCGCAUCUGACUGUUAAUCAGGAGGUUGGUGGUUCAAGCCCACCCAGGAGUG